Molecule: long non-coding RNA, 737 nt
Filed under: Carica papaya (papaya)
Lineage: Eukaryota; Viridiplantae; Streptophyta; Magnoliopsida; Brassicales; Caricaceae
Description: long non-coding RNA (CPAP_LNC002489)
Source: RNAcentral
UUUCCUCUCUUUCAAUCCACCAAAUAAAAGAAACAAAAAAGAGAAGAAAAGAAGAAUAGGGAGGAGAGGGAGAUGAGAGAGGGGAAAAAAAAGAAAGAGAGAGCAUGGGGACGACUGGCACAGCGGAGGGAAGAAAAUAAAUUUGAGAGGCGACACUGCAGGUGGCCUAACCACUGUGUGAUCGCCUCUCGCACGUAAAUUCUUCUUUCGAACGUCCAAAUGUAAUUUCUUUUUCUUCUUCUUUCGUGAUUCUCUUCCUAAAUAGUUUAGAGUGACAUGCAUGAUAUUUAAAAUAAAUAAAUUUAGAUUUACUUGAUUUUAAAUAAAAAUUUAAACUUAAAUAAAGAGAUGGUGAGGGUUCAGUGUAGUAAGAGGGUGAUUAAAAUUAAGUUAUAUCCAUAUAUAUGUAUACAUAUUUAUCUAGGAUAUAUAUGGUGUGUAUAUAUGUAUAUAUAUUAUGAAUAUAAGGUACACAUAUAAAAACUAUAGUGAAUAUGUGAAAAUAUAUUUAUUUGCAUGAAUUUGAUGUAAAAUGUAUGAAGGGAAAAAUAUAUAUAUAUAUAGAUACACUAUGUAUGUAUAAUUUCAUGCAUGUAUAUAUAAAUAUAUAGAUAUGUACAUAUAACUAUGUACAAAUAAAUGCAUGUAUGGAUAUAUAUGAUUAAAAUAAUAUUUUAUAUGCAUGUAUAAUCCUCAUUUUUAAUAAGUAUUUAUAUAUGUAAACACUAAUGCACAAA